Ostrea edulis (European flat oyster) is the source of this 855-nucleotide long non-coding RNA. RefSeq lists it as uncharacterized. The transcript is spliced from 3 exons. NCBI's taxonomy places the organism in Eukaryota, Metazoa, Mollusca, Bivalvia, Ostreida, Ostreidae. The record is from RefSeq and is a predicted model, not a curated record.
AUUCGAAAUAAAAACAAAUCGCGUAAAUUUUACGACUUUAAUUACUUUUCGGCAAUGUAAACAUAGUGAGACUUUUGAAACAUUGAAAUGCGGGGAAAACGCGGAUUUCAGUCAGCUAAAGCGAUCCAGCGUUACAUCAAGGUUUUUUGACCCACAGAAGACGAUGGAAAGCUGCCUCACCAAGACACCAGACGCCGGAUCAUCUAUAUUUGCAAUCGCAGACGCAAGACAUGUGUUCAGGUUUUGAAUAUAAUGUCUCCAGUAUGGAUAUGUUUGACGAUUGUUACCAUAGAAACGAACUCACAGACCAACAUGUAUGUCAAAACAGGUUUUGAACAUGAUGUCUCCAGUAAGGAUAUGUUUGAUGAUGGUUACCAUGGGAACGAACUCACAGACCUAUGUCAAAAAUGUCAUUUUCUGAUAGAAUAGACAUAAUGCUAUCCAUUUCACUCAAUUUUAGAAUUUUUUAAUUAAUACACUUCCGGGUUCUCUACAGGUUUUAAAUAUGAUGUCUCCAGCAAGGAUAUGUUUGAUGAUGGUUACCAUGGUAACGAUCUCACAGACCUAUGUCAAAAAUGUCUUUUUCUGAUAGAAUAGACAUAAUGCUAUCCAUUUCAUUCAAUUUUAGAAUUUUUUGAUUAUUCUGAUGUCAGCCAUACACUUCCGGGUUCUCUACAGGUUCUAAAUAUGAUGUCUCCAGCAAGGAUAUGUUUGAUGAUGGUUACCAUGGGAACGAUCUCACAGACCUAUGUCAAAAAUGUAUUUUUCUGAUAGAAUAAACAUAAUGCUAUCCAUUUCACUCAAUUUUAGAAUCUUUUAAUUAUUCUCAUGUCAGUCAUACCUUUCCAUUUUUUG